GUGCCAGCAGCCGCGGUAAUACGUAGGUGGCAAGCGUUGUCCGGAUUUACUGGGCGUAAAGGGAGCGUAGGCGGAUACUUAAGUGGGAUGUGAAAUACCUGGGCUUAACUCGGGUGCUGCAUUCCAAACUGGGUGUCUAGAGUGUUGGAGAGGAAAGUGGAAUUCCUAGUGUAGCGGUGAAAUGCGUAGAGAUUAGGAAGAACACCAGUGGCGAAGGCGACUUUCUGGACAAUAACUGACGCUGAGGCUCGAAAGCGUGGGGAGCAAACAGGAUUAGAUACCCUGGUAGUCC
This 292-nucleotide ribosomal RNA is filed under the name uncultured bacterium. Its description in RNAcentral is "partial 16S ribosomal RNA". It matches the Rfam family "Bacterial small subunit ribosomal RNA", at positions 505 to 796 of the family's 1533-position model. The record is from RNAcentral.